This 250-nucleotide ribosomal RNA is filed under the name uncultured bacterium. RNAcentral's name for it is "partial 16S ribosomal RNA". It matches the Rfam family "Bacterial small subunit ribosomal RNA", at positions 524 to 773 of the family's 1533-position model. The record is from RNAcentral.
UACGGAGGGUGCUAGCGUUGUUCGGAAUUAUUGGGCGUAAAGGGCGCGUAGGCGGUUAUGUAAGUCAGAUGUGAAAUACUUCGGCUCAACCGAAGAACUGCAUUUGAUACUACAUAGCUAGAGUACAGAAGAGGGAAAUGGAAUUCCCGGUGUAGAGGUGAAAUUCGUAGAUAUCGGGAGGAACACCAGUGGCGAAGGCGAUUUCCUGGUCUGAUACUGACGCUGAGGCGCGAAAGCGUGGGGAGCAAAC